RNAcentral lists this ribosomal RNA (253 nucleotides) under uncultured bacterium. RNAcentral's name for it is "partial 16S ribosomal RNA". It matches the Rfam family "Bacterial small subunit ribosomal RNA", at positions 524 to 776 of the family's 1533-position model. The record is from RNAcentral.
UACAGAGGGUGCGAGCGUUAAUCGGAAUUACUGGGCGUAAAGGGCGCGUAGGCGGGCUGUCGCGUCUGGGGUGAAAUCCUCCGGCUCAACCGGGGAAGGGCCUCGGGUACGGACGGCCUCGAGGGGGGUAGGGGCGUGCGGAACUGUGGGUGGAGCGGUGAAAUGCGUUGAUAUCCACAGGAACUCCGGUGGCGAAGGCGGCACGCUGGACCCUCACUGACGCUGAGGCGCGAAAGCCAGGGGAGCGAACGGG